Molecule: ribosomal RNA, 320 nt
Filed under: uncultured Alphaproteobacteria bacterium
Lineage: Bacteria; Pseudomonadati; Pseudomonadota; Alphaproteobacteria
Description: bacterial SSU rRNA
Rfam family: Bacterial small subunit ribosomal RNA
Source: RNAcentral
GCAAGUCGAGCGAGGUCUUCGGACCUAGCGGCGGACGGGUGAGUAACGCGUGGGAACGUGCCCUUCACUACGGAAUAGCCCAUGGAAACGUGGAUUAAUACCGUAUACGCCCUUCGGGGGAAAGAUUUAUCGGUGAAGGAUCGGCCCGCGUUAGAUUAGGUAGUUGGUGGGGUAAUGGCCUACCAAGCCUACGAUCUAUAGCUGGUUUUAGAGGAUGAUCAGCCACACUGGGACUGAGACACGGCCCAGACUCCUACGGGAGGCAGCAGUGGGGAAUCUUAGACAAUGGGGGAAACCCUGAUCUAACCAUGCCGCGUGUG